AGAGUUUGAUCCUGGCUCAGGACGAACGCUGGCGGCGUGCCUAAUACAUGCAAGUCGAGCGGACAGACGGGAGCUUGCUCCCUUAGGUCAGCGGCGGACGGGUGAGAAACACGUGGGUAACCUGCCUGUAAGACUGGGAUAACUCCGGGAAACCGGGGCUAAUACCGGAUGCUUGAUUGAACCGCAUGGUUCAAUCAUAAAAGGUGGCUUUUAGCUACCACUUACAAAUGGACCCGCGGCGCAUUAGCUAGUUGGUGAGGUAACGGCUCACCAAGGCGACAAUGCGUAGCCGACCUGAAAGGGUGAUCGGCCACACUGGGACUGAGACACGGCCCAGACUCCUACGGGAGGCAGCAGUAGGGAAUCUUCCGCAAUGGACAAAAGUCUGACGGACCAACGCCCCGUGAGUGAUGAAGGUUUUCGGAUCGUAAAACUCUGUUGUUAGGGAAGAACAAGUACCGUUCGAAUAGGGCGGUACCUUGACGGUACCUAACCAGAAAGCCACGGCUAACUACGUGCCAGCACCCGCGGUAAUACGUAGGUGGCAAGCGUUGUCCGGAAUUAUUGGGCGUAAAGCGCGCGCAGGCGGUUUCUUAAGUCUGAUGUGAAAGCCCCCGGCUCAACCGGGAAGGGUCAUUGGAAACUGGGGAACUUGAGUGCAGAAGAGGAGAGUGGAAUUCCACGUGUAGCGGUGAAAUGCGUAGAGAUGUGGAGGAACA
Molecule: ribosomal RNA, 719 nt
Filed under: Bacillus licheniformis
Lineage: Bacteria; Bacillati; Bacillota; Bacilli; Caryophanales; Bacillaceae
Description: bacterial SSU rRNA
Rfam family: Bacterial small subunit ribosomal RNA
Source: RNAcentral